Molecule: long non-coding RNA, 723 nt
Filed under: Sinocyclocheilus grahami
Lineage: Eukaryota; Metazoa; Chordata; Actinopteri; Cypriniformes; Cyprinidae
Description: lncRNA (ENSSGRG00000022217.1)
Source: RNAcentral
UGAGGGUAGGAGGAGUGAACAUGGCAUUGCAGAGUGCCGGGGAUACCUUGAAUAAACAAUUCAGUCAAGCGACUGACUGCAGGACUCAAGAAAAACUCUAGAAAACCGCACAUGUGGGGAAUAGACGCGGUCAGCCCCAUUCACCUGUCCGUUUUUUUUUUUUUAACAUCUCAAUUGUUCGUAAAGAGAAAUAUCAUAUACGCGUCUCCGACUAUUCCCUGAAUGCAGCAUAAUUUUCAACGGGAUUUUCUUUUUUCACCAUCCGCGCAGUGUUCCCAACCGGUUCGCCUGUAUUCGGCGGAUGCCCUUGUAUGCCCUCGGAAACAGCGGAUAGUGAAGCUGCCCUCUGAGCUCGUGGAACAAAGCAGAAAAUAAAGUUGCUGCCUGCAAAGUGCUGCGGUGGGUGGCUUUAACAUUCCCAUCCACUUUCAGCUCCCACUAACCUUGCUGCGCUCUGACAUCAUCCUGGAACAAUGUCAGAUCCAUGUAGAUGAAUAUAAUUAAACAAGCGCUUAUCAUCCAGCCGGGGAAAGUUUAGUGGCAGGUCAACCAUGUUUGCCUCUCUCUCGGCUGAAGGUCGGACGAGGGUUAGACAGGCAGUUUGCAGGCUGGAAGGUAUGUGAAAGACACAAAACACAGACUAGGCCAACACAAGAACGUUUUCCAGAGCACAAAAAGUCUAUUUUUACACUAGCUCGUUAUUUACAUUGAGCUCUGUCGGGU